Molecule: long non-coding RNA, 1737 nt
Organism: Podarcis muralis (Common wall lizard)
Lineage: Eukaryota; Metazoa; Chordata; Lepidosauria; Squamata; Lacertidae
Source: RefSeq, a predicted model, not a curated record
GGGGAAAGGAAGCGAGCGCGCACCGUAUAUUCCGAAUAAAUUAAUUUUCCGUUGCUGGAAGUUGUGGGUAGGAUAUGCAGGGGUGGCGGGGUAGGAGGAGAUUUUAUUUUAUUUUAUUUUGCAAUCCGAUGGUUUCCUCGGGUGAUAAAAAGCAGGCAGCAGAUGGGCACAACAGAUCGCGUGGGUGAGGAUUACAGAGGAACAAAUGAACUGAAAUGCCAUCAGGCCUGAUUCUGGAAUAUUGGCUGGCACCCAAGAAUGUCCCUCUGAAAGCGACACGUGGAGAAUAAUCUUCCCAAGGGGCAAGUUUGCUGAGUGGGAUUGCGGCUUGAAGUCUACCGAUAUCCGUGGUCCGAAGCUGGCUGAAGUCUAUAGUGAUGGACUUAAUGGAAACUGUCAGGGGUUGGCGGGUGAAAGCUGGUGGAGCUUGCAUUUGGAAGCGGGCAGAUGUCUCAAGGCUGGUGUUUGUGGAUGUCAGCUGGCUGGAACUCACCUUUGGAGGCCAGUCAACAGAAGCCGGUGGAUAUUUGUGGACUGAAGCAGGACCCAAACGUAAACGAAUGGAGAGUAAAUUAUGACCGAUUGUAUCUGCCGGUGUUCAUCGUGGAUGCUGGCUGGCGUACACUUGUGUGUGGGAAUGGGAGGUCUCAAAAACGGUCAGGGCGAAAUGGUACAUGUAUGUGAGCGAAUGGGGUGGGAUGUGUGGAAAUGUUCAUGAUUAGAUGGAACCUGUGGAAGCUGGAAGGCUGAAAGUUAGCAUAUAAAGUCCCUAGGCAGAAGUCGGUAGAAGUGCCUGGAGGAUGCUGCCAUAUGGUAGCCGUCCCAUUCGUGGUCCCAUGGAUGUCUGAAGCCAGUGAGGUUUCCUCAAGGCCACCCAUGAAAGCAGUGAAGAGAACUGCAGGGCUUAAGCAAGGCAGCUUAUAGUUCAUUUGAAGAAACGCCUUUCUAAACACAUCCACCUGCAGUAGCUAUUCUAUCUUUUUAUUCAAAGUCACAUAAUGGGAUAUCACACACCUGACUUGGUAUUGUUACACAGGAAAGGUGUGCUGGGUGAGAAAUAAAUAAGAAAUAAGCAAACCCCUGUGGAGGUGCCUCCAAAAUCGUCAGGCCACGGGAGGUUGUGCUGAUGCUAUUGGCUGUGGACUGCUUGUGAUGUCACAAAAGAACAUGGUGGCUGAGGGAGAAAUGACAGUUAUUGGAAGAGGUACAGGUGAAGAGGCUCUGGAGAAGUUGGGUCGGGCAGCUGAAGGCAGAGAAGGGAAAUCUGGUUUCGCUUCAUCCUGUCUAUUUGAGUUGCCUGUUGUCCUGUGCCUCACCUACGUAGCUGUCAAAAAAAGUCACAACUGAUUUUUGUCACAGAGAAUCCAGCUGCCCACCGUAAACUUUUAAGGAUCCUCAGUGUUUGAAAAACUUCCUUUUAGCUGAAACAUCACCGUUAUGUCUAGUAAGGUACUUCAGGAUGCGGAUUUUUAAGAGGAAAGAACCCCAGUCAAAUGUAGGGGUUCAGAGUGUGAGCUAUGAUGAACCACAAAGACCCGGAAUUGAAUCUCACUGCUACCCUCAAUAAAAGAUCCCAAAGAGGGGAAAUGUGUGUGUCUCUCCCCCCCCCCAUCAUUCCUUCUUCUCUGCCCCACAUAUUUACAAGGUAGUCUUCCUGGGCCCUUUUUGUCUGAGAUCAUUUCGACUGGCAAUGCUGAGGAUUAAGACUGGGCCCUUAUGCACAAAAUGUAGGAUGCU